CCCUGGCUCAGAUUGAACGCUGGCGGCAGGCCUAACACAUGCAAGUCGAGCGGUAGAGAGRAGCUUGCACCUCUUGAGAGCGGCGGACGGGUGAGUAAUGCCUAGGAAUCUGCCUGGUAGUGGGGGAUAACGCUCGGAAACGGACGCUAAUACCGCAUACGUCCUACGGGAGAAAGCAGGGGACCUUCGGGCCUUGCGCUAUCAGAUGAGCCUAGGUCGGAUUAGCUAGUUGGUGAGGUAAUGGCUCACCAAGGCGACGAUCCGUAACUGGUCUGAGAGGAUGAUCAGUCACACUGGAACUGAGACACGGUCCAGACUCCUACGGGAGGCAGCAGUGGGGAAUAUUGGACAAUGGGCGAAAGCCUGAUCCAGCCAUGCCGCGUGUGUGAAGAAGGUCUUCGGAUUGUAAAGCACUUUAAGUUGGGAGGAAGGGCAGUAACCUAAUACGUUGGUGUCUUGACGUUACCGACAGAAUAAGCACCGGCUAA
This 488-nucleotide ribosomal RNA is filed under the name Pseudomonas sp. CL2.47. RNAcentral describes it as "bacterial SSU rRNA". It matches the Rfam family "Bacterial small subunit ribosomal RNA", at positions 17 to 500 of the family's 1533-position model. Lineage: Bacteria; Pseudomonadati; Pseudomonadota; Gammaproteobacteria; Pseudomonadales; Pseudomonadaceae. The record is from RNAcentral.